RNAcentral lists this long non-coding RNA (983 nucleotides) under Capsella grandiflora. Its description in RNAcentral is "long non-coding RNA (CGRA_LNC001310)". The record is from RNAcentral. Lineage: Eukaryota; Viridiplantae; Streptophyta; Magnoliopsida; Brassicales; Brassicaceae.
ACCUUUCUCAUUGCACCAUCUCUGGACGCAAUCAUGAUGUGCAAACUGCAAAGAGUUGAUGAAUGAAUCAUUGAGGUUACGAAUUUAAAGUUCAGACAGAGAUAAAACAACCGGAAAUCAAAGACAGCACCUUUAAUGUUCCAGAACAAGAACAAGGCGUAUCCAUGUUGGAAUCUUCAUCUUCGUCAUGACAAAUCCUACAUUGUUCAAAUUUACUCUCACAUAAAUCAGCUCCUGCAGAUACAGAUUCAGAUGUACCAUCUUUGUUAACCAAGUCAGUUUUAAUAUCUGCUCGCUUUACCGCCACAAGACCAGAAUCGCUUGAUAAUCUAUCAACCACCAACACUAAAUGAUCUCCCAUCCUAAUUCUUACCACCAGCAAAACAAAACAAGAAAAUUCCAAUAAUGAUCCAAACCAAAUGUCAGAGAAUAUCAAUCUGCAAAUCAAAAGAUGUCCUCAGGACAUGAACAAUGAACAUUAAGCAAACAGAAGAGAGACAUAACAUUAACAUAACAUCAAAGCAAACUUAACAGGAAACUUGAGAAGCAAAAUUACAAGUUAACAAAACAAGAAUCAUAUAUUAAAAAAGGUGUUUUGUACAUGGAGAUAAUGUGAUUAAGGAGAAGUCUUUAAUCCAAAGGAUACAAACAAAGAUUCUGAUUCUCUGCAAGAAAAGGUAACCUUUACACUAUAUAUUCUUUCCCUUUCUCCUUCUCCUUCUUCUUCAUAACAAUCUCAUUAGUAAAGAAACUUGUACCAAUCAAUCAUCAUAUGUUGUAUGAGGAGAAGCAGUACAACCAGAAUCAAAAGGAUCUUCAGAUCCACAACAAUGCCAAUACUGUAACACUUUUCCUGAAUUUGGUGUAUCCAUUGUUCCACCACUGUAUACACUUUCAAAUUUCCUCUUUGUCUCUCCUAAACAAAACAAAAAAAUGCAAAAUUUCUUCAAACCCUUGAUUUAUAACUAAACCUAAUUCCCAAA